Molecule: ribosomal RNA, 440 nt
Filed under: uncultured bacterium
Lineage: Bacteria
Description: bacterial SSU rRNA
Rfam family: Bacterial small subunit ribosomal RNA
Source: RNAcentral
AACGCGAAGAACCUUACCCAGACUUGACAUGCAGAGGACGAUGCUGGAAACAGCAUUUCCCUUCGGGGCCUUUGCACAGGUGCUGCAUGGCUGUCGUCAGCUCGUGCCGUGAGGUGUUGGGUUAAGUCCCGCAACGAGCGCAACCCUUAUCAUUAGUUGCCAACAUUUAAGGUGGGAACUCUAAUGAGACUGCCUGGGUUAACCAGGAGGAAGGUGAGGAUGAUGUCAAGUCCGCAUGGCCCUUAUGUCUGGGGCUACACACGUGCUACAAUGGUCGGUACAGAAGGCAGCGAAGCCGCGAGGUGGAGCAAAUCCCAAAAGCCGAUCUCAGUUCAGAUUGUAGUCUGCAACUCGACUACAUGAAGACGGAAUUGCUAGUAAUGGCGUAUCAGCUACAACGCCGUGAAUACGUUCCCGGGCCUUGUACACACCGGUAUCUC